CUUACCCCAUAACAAACUUUAUCGUUUCUUUCGUUCCCUCUCGCUCGCAGUUGGUUCUCUUCUCGCCUCUGGUGGCCGCGACAGCGAGGGGUAUCCUCCGCGCGCGGUCUCCCCCUCACCCACCCCGGCCAUCGCUGCCGGUUCCUCUACGUCCUAUCUCUCUCAUCUCAGUCCGAAUCCGCCAAGGCCAAGCGCAUCGAGACCUUCUCCGCCGGACAAACCGCAAGAUCGACCUCGGCGAAUGCGGCUCCAUGAUCUUGGAUGCCCUCAUCAAGAUCAGGAACGAGACGGACCCCUCCGUCUCUUUCCGCCGGUCCUUCCGAGUGGGCGAACAUCGAUGGCUACAACGGCGUCGCCCGCCUCACCAAGAUCCUGUACUCGGCGGCAGUUGGUGAUCGUUGAUCCGGUCGUGGACAUAGUCACAGUUCAUUACAAGUGCGUGAAGCUGUGGAUCAAGAUGAAGCCCUGGUGCCCGGCAAAGGACGGGGAUCUCGAAGGAUGGCGCGGAACUGGUCGGGAUGUACGAGUGCGAGACCUACCUCGGGCCCGCAUGCCCUCCAGCCCCACCGGCCACCCGCGGAAGGAGAUCUCCCAGGGCACGAAGGAACCGCGAGACCUACUGCAGAACCUUCUGUCCUAGCUAUGGAACCGUGAGACGUACCUCGGCCCCGCCGCUCUCCACGCCCGCAAGUAUUACUCCUUUCGCCUGAUUUCUUUUCUAAAAAUGUCUAUCUCAGCUUUGAUUGCUUUCAAAUAGCUUAAAGAUUCCUUAUCUUGAAAGUCUUAUGUAAUUUCUGAUUGUUUCUUCGUGCUUAAUGACUUAUCUAUAAUGAAGUGAAUGUAUCUUUUUAGUA
Long non-coding RNA from Musa acuminata AAA Group (dessert banana), 854 nucleotides. RefSeq lists it as uncharacterized. Lineage: Eukaryota; Viridiplantae; Streptophyta; Magnoliopsida; Zingiberales; Musaceae. The transcript has 2 exons. The record is from RefSeq and is a predicted model, not a curated record.